RNAcentral lists this non-coding RNA (203 nucleotides) under Bacteroides intestinalis. Lineage: Bacteria; Pseudomonadati; Bacteroidota; Bacteroidia; Bacteroidales; Bacteroidaceae. The record is from RNAcentral.
CUAUCUUUACCCCGAAUUGGUUUCGGAUGAACUAUUCCAUCAUUCGGAUUAAAAGGGAAUCGGGUGUAAAUCCCGGACAGUCCCGCUGCUGUGAAGCUCCAUAACUUUCUGAUAAAUACUUUAGCCACUGGCUGUGAAUUAGAGGUCGGGAAGGAAUCAGAAAGGGAGUCAGUCAGAAGACCUGCCAUUCGUUAAAGGUUGUU